Molecule: ribosomal RNA, 868 nt
Filed under: uncultured bacterium
Lineage: Bacteria
Description: bacterial SSU rRNA
Rfam family: Bacterial small subunit ribosomal RNA
Source: RNAcentral
AUGCAGUCGAGGGGUUGGCAGCAAUGCCAGAGACCGGCGCACGGGUGCGUAACGCGUAUGCAAUCUGCCUUUCACAGAGGGAUAGCCCAGAGAAAUUUGGAUUAAUACCUCAUGGUAUAUAUGAAUGGCAUCAUUUAUAUAUUAAAGUAACAACGGUGAAAGAUGAGCAUGCGUCCCAUUAGCUAGUUGGUAAGGUAACGGCUUACCAAGGCAACGAUGGGUAGGGGUCCUGAGAGGGAGAUCCCCCACACUGGUACUGAGACACGGACCAGACUCCUACGGGAGGCAGCAGUGAGGAAUAUUGGACAAUGGGGGCAACCCUGAUCCAGCCAUGCCGCGUGCAGGAUGACGGUCCUAUGGAUUGUAAACUGCUUUUAUACGGGAAGAAACCACCCCUCGUGAGGGGUAUUGACGGUACCGUAGGAAUAAGGAUCGGCUAACUCCGUGCCAGCAGCCGCGGUAAUACGGAGGAUCCAAGCGUUAUCCGGAAUCAUUGGGUUUAAAGGGUCCGUAGGCGGCCCGAUAAGUCAGCGGUGAAAUCUCCCGGCUCAACCGGGAAAUGGCCAUUGAUACUGUCGGGCUUGAAUUACCAGGAAGUAACUAGAAUAUGUAGUGUAGCGGUGAAAUGCUUAGAGAUUACAUGGAAUACCAAUUGCGAAGGCAGGUUACUACUGGUGGAUUGACGCUGAUGGACGAAAGCGUGGGUAGCGAACAGGAUUAGAUACCCUGGUAGUCCACGCCGUANACGAUGGAUACUAGCUGUCCGGAAGCAAUUCUGGGUGGCUAAGCGAAAGUGAUAAGUAUCCCACCUGGGGAGUACGAACGCAAGUUUGAAACUCAAAGGAAUUGACGGGGGCCCGCACAAGCG